Molecule: long non-coding RNA, 362 nt
Organism: Dreissena polymorpha
Lineage: Eukaryota; Metazoa; Mollusca; Bivalvia; Myida; Dreissenidae
Exons: 3
Source: RefSeq, a predicted model, not a curated record
AGGAAUCACAAUUAGGCAGAUUGUGGUGUUCUGUGCCAACUUGACCCGAGUUACAUAGCCUACAAAUUCUAUCUUCGUAUGGGGUUCCGUCAUAGCGACCUGUUUCGACUGGGGACCAGUGGUUAGCAGUCCUGAAUUGGAAAAGGGAAGGUGCUGGUGGAGGCUUGAUGGAAGACUGAUUGCAGCUUAUCAGUGAUAUGCUCUAUCGUCUGCUGUGAACGGGGAUUGAAGGAUGGUUCUUCGCCCCAACUGGCCUAAUGGGCAUGGUUGCUGUCAGCCGAGGUUCUACCAGGGUUGAGGGGCUGAGGAAUGAAAUCGGUGAAUGGAUUCUUGUUUCAUUAAUGCUUAUUAAGAGGCGUAGC